Molecule: long non-coding RNA, 208 nt
Filed under: Elaeis guineensis (African oil palm)
Lineage: Eukaryota; Viridiplantae; Streptophyta; Magnoliopsida; Arecales; Arecaceae
Description: long non-coding RNA (EGUI_LNC053919)
Source: RNAcentral
GGAGUCUGGUUACCGUAGAAAUCUCACUGUCGAGGAAGCUCGGAUGCAAACGAAGUCCGAAAGAAGUUCGAAAAAUAGUUGGUUGCUGUAGAAGGUCGGCUAAUAGUGGGGCCUAGAGGGCUUUUAGAGUGGCCCAGUGGAUGAGUGCAGAAGUUCAUUGUCGGAGAAGUCCAGACGGUCGAGGGGGUUCGGAGAGAUGCCACACAUA